AGCGAACGCUGGCGGCAGGCCUAACACAUGCAAGUCGAACGAACUCUUCGGAGUUAGUGGCGGACGGGUGAGUAACACGUGGGAACGUGCCUUUUAGUUCGGAAUAACUCAGGGAAACUUGUGCUAAUACCGAAUGUGCCCUUCGGGGGAAAGAUUUAUCGCCAUUAGAGCGGCCCGCGUCUGAUUAGCUAGUUGGUGAGGUAACGGCUCACCAAGGCGACGAUCAGUAGCUGGUCUGAGAGGAUGACCAGCAACACUUGGACUGGGACACGGCCCAGACUCCUACGGGAGGCAGCAGUGGGGGAUCUUGCGCAAUGGGGGGAAGGCUGACGCAGCCAUGCCGCGUGAAUGAUGAAGGUCUUAGGAUUGUAAAAUUCUUUCAACGGGGAAGAUAAUGACGGUACCCGGAGAAGAAGCCCCGGCUAACUUCGUG
Molecule: ribosomal RNA, 433 nt
Filed under: uncultured bacterium
Lineage: Bacteria
Description: partial 16S ribosomal RNA
Rfam family: Bacterial small subunit ribosomal RNA
Source: RNAcentral